CCCUUAGAUGUUCUGGGCUGCACGCGCGCUACACUGAUGCGAUCAACAAGUUUUUCCUAUGUCGAUAGACACGGGUAAUCUUUUGAACUCGCAUCGUGAUGGGGAUAGAUUAUUGUAAUUAUUAAUCUUCAACGAGGAAUUCCUAGUAGGUGCAAAUCAUCAGUUUGCAUCGAUUACGUCCCUGCCCUUUGUACACACCGCCCGUCGCUGCUACCGAUUGGUUGAUCUGGUGAAUUAUUCGGACUGCCGGCUGAAGGGGUUUCCUCAUCUGCCAGCGGUAAGUCUUGUUAACCCUAUCAACUAGAGGAAGCAGAAGUCGUAACA
This 324-nucleotide ribosomal RNA is filed under the name uncultured eukaryote. Its description in RNAcentral is "partial 18S ribosomal RNA". It matches the Rfam family "Eukaryotic small subunit ribosomal RNA", at positions 1470 to 1796 of the family's 1831-position model. The record is from RNAcentral.